Poecile atricapillus (Black-capped chickadee) is the source of this 2237-nucleotide long non-coding RNA. RefSeq lists it as uncharacterized. Lineage: Eukaryota; Metazoa; Chordata; Aves; Passeriformes; Paridae. The record is from RefSeq and is a predicted model, not a curated record. The transcript has 3 exons.
UUACAAAAAAACAUUAAAAAUGGGCUGAGUACAAGAAGCUUACAUGAGUCUUUGUAGAGGAAUUUUUACUGAGCCACUUCACUGAAUACUGCAGGGUGCAGUAAUAACAAAAAAAAAAAGCUUGGAAAGAGCAUGAGCUCUUGGCACCUAUUCUGCAGAACCAUUUUCACUGUCUAAUGGUGCUGCUGUACAUUUUGGAACCUAUGUAAAGAUUGGCCCUGACCAUGGAAUAUUUACUCACUUUGAAAUGCAGAUGUGACCUGCCUUCUCCUUCUGCAACUAACAGGGUGACCAGAGGCAGUGGAAUGUACACCAGGACUGGAAAGAACAGAACCAGAGGGAAAGCAAACUGUCAAGAGAACAGUGUACUGAAGAGGAAAAAUGUAAAACAUGACUUCUAUUUACCAUGAUUAAUAUGUAAAGUUAACAUGUUUGUCAUGGAAUAUAUUAAUAUGUAUGUUUUCCUAUUAUGCAGAUCUUUUCUUACAUUACUUUUUAGAAAGGGAUAUAAUCACAAUGAUGGGGCAAGAAUGCCACUUAAAAAUUAGGUGAUGCCCAGUCAACAUAACAUAACAUAACCACUGCAGUGUCAUUUCUGAUUUAGAUGUGGUGAUAUCAGUAUAAUUGCCUCUGGGAAGAAAUUAAAAUGGCUGUUAAUGAUAAAUAAAAUGACAAGAAGGAGGAUUUUCCUUCACAUAUAAUUCCAAGCAAAAUACAGCUGCUGAAUUCUUUGAGCACUUGGUGCCAUUCAUUGAUAAAGAGGAAACAAGUAGUUUUUGUGCAGCUGCAUGGCCAUAAAAGCUGCCCUUUUUCCAAGCCCAAAUGUAGACACCACAGGUCUAAAAAGAUUUCACCAUGCCAUUUCCACUCAGGGGAGAUGUAAUUGUGAAGCUCACAUGAAGUGAAUAUUAACACUAUUUUAGCAGAAAACCCUGUACCUAACAAACAGAAAGAUAAGCAAAAACAGGGUAGAGGCAGGGAGACAACAGAACAUGUGGAUACUCUACAAAACCUCCAGAUACUGCUGCCUUGUCUCUGUCAACAUAGGCAGCCUUAGCUCACGGAUCAAAAGACCUUCAUACAUUUGUUUUAUAUCAUAAAUGUGUCGAGAAUGAGCUACACAAAACAUCGUUCACCUACUACACAUGGCUUGUUAGCCUAGUUGAGGGCAUCUUUCAACUCAUUCACACAUUAAAAGCCAGGAAAACAACAUUUAAUUACUAGUUCUAGCAUUAAGAUCAAAGACAAUAUCUUCCCAUCUGUGAAGAGCAAGAGCCUCUUGCUUUCUCCUCUCUUUGCAUUAACAGAAGAAUUGAAGAGUCAAAACACAAAAUCAACAUUAUAUUCCACAUCCCAUGAGUAACACAAUUCCAGCCUAUAGAAACACUAAGCAGCCACCAAAACUUACAUACAUUUUCUUGGAAAGAAAUAUAAGCGAAUCUCUUGUCACAUCUUCACGAUACUCCCAUUCUGCAGUUAUCCAAAGCUCAGAGUGGCUUGAUCCACAGGUGUUAUCCUAGUGUAUAAAAUCACAGUAUCUCUUAAAAGGGAGAAUACCAUAUACCUGCCAUUUACUUGAUAUCUUCAAAAUCAGAUGGUGGUGUAAGGGUUAGAUUAAAUUAAGGCACUAACUUGUAAUCACAAAACCAAAACUGAGGUGGGGUAAGUCAAUGUUAUUUCAUUACCAUAAGUAGGUUUUGCCUGUUGGUCAAAGAAGCUUAAAAAAAUAAAUAAAUAAAUAAAAGUCAGCCUUAACCUGGAGAAUAAAUAUGUCCACUUUCAGAGGAAACUUAUUUGUUGAUUCAGUUCUAGCCAAUGCAAAUUCUUCUGCAGGGGGUUUGCUCUUAGGUACAUGUAGCCAAACCAUAGCACAGGCAAUGAAUGAAGAGAAGGUAAAAAAAUGAAUAAUGUGUAACAUGCUUUCUAAAAUAUGGCAAAUAAACACAGAAAGGACCCUAGUGAAACAGCUAAACCACUGAUUUAGCAUUUUGAGAUUUGAGGACUUUUUUUAUUUUCUCGGGGAUCUGUAUUACUACACAGCAUGUGAAAGGAGUGCAGAGCUCAGUCAGCCCCCAUCUAAUUGUGUUGGCUCUUUUGCAUGAAGAUCAUUUACUGAUAAAUUGUUACAGACACAUUUAGGCAACAAGUUUUUAUAGGAUGCCUGGUGCUCUUUAUAAUGCAAUUAACAUUAUUAAGUAUACAUGUUUUCUUAUGCAUUGUUGUUUCACUGGCAAACA